CCUACGGGUGGCAGCAGUGGGGAAUCUUGCACAAUGGGCGAAAGCCUGAUGCAGCAACGCCGCGUGGGUGAAGAAGGUUCUUGGAUUGUAAAGCCCUUUCGGCUAGGAAGAAGGGUCUGCGUGCUAAUACCACGUAGAUUUGACGGUACUAGAAGAAGAAGCACCGGCUAACUCCGUGCCAGCAGCCGCGGUAAUACGGAGGGUGCGAGCGUUGUUCGGAUUGAUUGGGCGUAAAGCGCAUGUAGGCGGGUUCGUAAGUCGGAUGUGAAAGCCCU
Molecule: ribosomal RNA, 275 nt
Filed under: uncultured bacterium
Lineage: Bacteria
Description: partial 16S ribosomal RNA
Rfam family: Bacterial small subunit ribosomal RNA
Source: RNAcentral